This 4959-nucleotide ribosomal RNA is filed under the name Sphaerospora truttae. RNAcentral's name for it is "partial 28S ribosomal RNA". The stretch from base 797 to 4959 matches the Rfam family "Eukaryotic large subunit ribosomal RNA". The record is from RNAcentral. Lineage: Eukaryota; Metazoa; Cnidaria; Myxozoa; Bivalvulida; Sphaerosporidae.
ACAGUGAUCCCCUCAGUAACUGCGAGUGAAGUGGGGAGAGCCCAACGUCGAAUCGCUUAUGUCCUUAAUAGGGUUGCGAGUGUAUCGCGAGCGAGCUGUGACGUACGGAUGUACUGCACCGAAUCCAGUCGUAUCACCAAAGUUUAUCUGGAAAGGUGUGCCAAAGAGGGUGAGAGCCCCGUGUGUGGUGAUAUGAGUGUUGUGUAAGACUGGGUUCGUCUGUGUGUGAAUAGCACCAGGUGUGGCAGUGUGUUCCCUGAGUCGGGUUGUUUGGGAUUGCAGCCCUAAGGGGGUGGUAAACUCCACCCAAGGCUAAAUACUGGCACAAGACCGAUAGCGUACAAGUACCGUGAGGGAAAGUUGAAAAGCAUUCCGAAAGGAAAGUCAAAAAGGACGUGAAACCGUUAAAGGGGAAGCGGAUGGAGGGGUCGAAAUAUCCCACCCGGUUCAACACUGUGUGCCAAUGGUACAUACGGUGUGUAUUCCGAGUUGUGUGGAUGAGCCGAAACAGUCGUUGUGAGUACGGCCAAGGCAGGCUGGGCAGUCAAUGGCUCUUCAUCCGCUACUUCAUUCAGCAAUGGGUGUUAGUAUGUGGUCCAUGGAAGUGAUCGACUGCUACCUGUUUGUGGUACGCGUGCCAUAACCGCAACCAUGACUUGGUGUAUUUACUGAAAGAUUCGUUCAUGAUGACUGAGAAUUUGCGUCGUUGAGACGGUGCUGUGCGUCUCCGCCUGUGCUUGUGCAUACUGGUGCUUGAGACACUGUGUUGGUGAUGUGUGUGAGUCCCGUGUAAAUUUGAUCUUCAGCCACAUUUUGGCUACUUCUGCUCUUCGGAAAGGAAGUAUGCAGGGUGUGGACUCAGUGGAGAACAAACUCAUACUAUCGGUGAAGCCUCCAUCGUGCGGGGUAGUGUGUUCAAAUUGCUUCACUGUAUUUUGAGGAUGCUGCUGCGAUGGUGGGUGAGACCUCAGAUGUUUCUACCGUGGGAACGCAAGCAAUUGCGAUCCUUCUAUACCGAUAUUUAUAUACACGAGUUGAUACUGUGCACGCGUACUACCGUUGCCAGGACCAACACCAGCACUUUUCUAAUGAGUACAGCUAAUUUUCGGCGAGACACCAAUCCAUCCGACCCGUCUUGAAACACGGACCAAGGAGCCUAACAUAUGCGCGAGUCAAAGGGUGACUGAAACCCAGUAAUGUGUGAGUUUCUCACACGACUUCGGGGCUGAACCAAGGUAUAAACCCAGAGUGUGUGACAACAAAACAAGUGAUGAGGCGCAAUGAAAGUGACCACCAGUUGUGGUGAUGAGGUGGGAUCUGGCAGGUUCAUGCAGGCCAGUCUCUGGUUCUAAUGUCCCUGUCGGCGCACCACCAGCCGGUCUGCACGUAGGUGUGGAUUGAGCGAGAGCGCAUAUGCUAGAACCCGAAAGAUGGUGAACUAUUCCUGGGUAGGGCGAAGCCGGAGGAAACUCCGGUGGAGGCUCGCAGCGAUUCUGACGUGCAAAUCGAUCGUCAAACCUGGGUAUAGGGGCGAAAGACUAAUCGAACCAUCUAGUAGCUGGUUCCUUCCGAAAUAUCCCUCAGGAUCGCUGAGACUCGAUAUAACAAUGAUGCGUUGUAUAGUAGAGCAUGGUAGUUUCAUCGGGUAGAGCUAAUGAUUAGAGUUAUUUGGGAGUUAUUGCUCCUGAAACUAUUCUCAAACUGCCAACCGGUGAGAGUGUAGCUGGUGAUUUCUUUGAUAUUUCAACCAAGUGCAUGCAAUGUGUGCAUUGUGUGCGCCUUGUUGAAGCUCUGGUGAGCUGGUGUAUCACUGGUGAGUGUGUGGUCAGAGGUGUAAGAAAGUGAUCUCUCACGGUAGAGACUGCACAUUGUAAGCAGUGGUACACUCCGCCCAUUGGAGUACCGGUGUAAGAUCCGGUGUAUGACUGAAUCAGUACCGGCCAAGGCUGUAUAUUGGCAAGGGUUAAACCUUGCGAUACAGCACCGCGUUAGGUUUGCGCGGGAGGUGAAUACCAGAGUCUCAAGUGGGCCGUUUCUGGUAAGCAGAACUGGCGAUGCGGGAUGAACCGAGAGCUGGGUUAAGGUGCCCAAGUGAGCGCCCACGGACUCCACCAAGGGAGUCGAUCAGUAAAGAUAGUAGGGCGGUGGCCAUGGAAGUCGGCACUCCGCUAAGGAACGUGUCACAACUCACCUACCGAAUCGAUCGGCCCCGAAAAUGGAUGGCGCUAAAGCGUUCCACCGAUACCCGGCCGUCGAUGAACGAAAUGACAAUCUAUCGACGGGUAGGAAGGCGCGACGGUUUUUGUGGCUGGGCUCGCCAGUGUUGGUUGACCUGGUAGCAAUACGUGAGUCAGCAGGCACUGGUAGUGGGUCAGUCAAUAUUACAAGUUUGCUGAGAAGGACCAGAUGUGAAUCUGUCCGGAGCAGCCGUCGGUGCAGAUCUUGGUGGUAGUAGCAACUAUUCGAAUGAGAACUUUGAAGGCCGAGGUGGAGACGGGUUCCACGUGAACAGCAUUUGAACGUGGGUCAGUCGGUCCUAAGCAGUCGCCUAACCGCAUGUGUCAGGCAAAGAGAAGAGGAUGUCGCAAGUCCACUUCUAGGGCUGCGAAAGGGAAUCGGGUUAAUAUUCCCGAACCAAGUGGCGUGUUGACUUCAGUGGUGUGUGAGCUUCUAGGGGUUAAAGCCUGUUAUUUCACGCGCUACGCAGUCACAAUGUCGGAAAUGCUGAUGGAAAGUAGCAUGUGCUCUAACGAGUGUGUGCUGCAGGUUGCCGUGCUUAUCACAGUUGGUAUAGGUUGUAUUGACUCUAUGCAUUUCUUAUGCUUUACCCGAAAGGUUUGAGCCUCUGAGAGGCGUUGUGGCAGACAGUGCAAACAGCCAUUCUCUGUUACACGGUGCGAUUCCAUAUGGCUUGGCGGUAACGCAAGCAAACUCAGAGACAUCCUUCGUGGUCCUGGAAAGAGUUAUCUUUUCUUGUUAACAGGCCAAGUGAUACGCCCCGGAAAAGAGUCAGUCUGAGAUGGGGCUGGGGGCCUGGAAGAGCAUCGCAGUUUCGGCGGUGUCCGGUGUACCAUGGUGUUUAGGGUCCUUGAAAAUCUGAGGGCGCGUUUCGUGCAUGUGGAAACACAUGUGCGUGAAUUUUCGCACUUGUCCGUACCGAAUCCGCAUCAGGUCUCCAAGGUUAACAGCCUCUGGCGUUGAAACAAUGUAGGUAAGGGAAGUCGGCAAAAUCGAUCCGUAACUUCGGGACAAGGAUUGGCUCUAAGGGUUGAGUCAGCCGGGCCACGGCUAGUGCUGAGUGUUUGCUGGUAGAUCGCCUGGGAUGUACGCGCUCUCGGGUGGCGUGUUCGAGACAUUUACUGUGCUAGUGCUUAGUCUACGUGGUUGGUGGAUAGAGAGGCGAGAUUGGCCUGUGUAAAAGCUGGUUGAUUGUGGCUGCUAUGUACCCCUGUUGGGGUGGUGAAUGUGACAAACGUUCAUUGUUCCCUGGCAAUUCGCUCUUAUAAAGUGAGUGAUUGACGGCUGUGGUCUGUGUGGUGUGCUAUCGCAUAUUAUGCAGAGUGAGGCCGUGUUAGUCGGCGGAUGACAAAUGAACAACCAACUUAGAACUGUCACUGACUCGGGGAAUCCGACUGUUUAAUUAAAACAAAGCAUUGCGAUGGCUGGAAACGGUGUUGAUGCAAUGUGAUUUCUGCCCAGUGCUCUGAAUGUCAAAGUGUGGUAACGCAACCAAGCUCGGGUAAACGGCAGGAGUAACUAUGACUCUGUGAAGGUAGCCAAAUGCCUCGUCAUCUAAUUAGUGACGCGCAUGAAUGGAUCAACGAGAUUCCCACUGUCCCUACCUACCAUUCAGCGAAACCACAGUCAAGGGAACGGGCUUGACUGAGACAGCGGGGAAAGAAGACCCUGUUGAGCUUGACUCUAGUUUGACUUUGUGAAAAGACACCAGAGGUGUAGCAUAGGUGGGAGGUGCGUGAUAUGGCAACAUGUGUGUGCAUCGAACCUGAAAUACCACCACUUUGGUCGUUUUCUUACUGACUCGGUGAUACAGGAAGGAUCAACUUUAAUUGUCUGCUGCAUGCCAUGCAGGAGCUUAUGCAGAUUAUAUGCUGGUCUAGUAUUGGUUGUGGUCUGUUAUGGUGACUGGGUGUCUGUAUGCAGUGGAGUAAAGAUCAUGGUUCGUUGCUUGGUGUUGAAAGCGAGCCGGUGUGUGCAUCUGCUGGGCAACCAGUGGAUGUGUGCAUUAGCUGCGCUGACCUGUGAGCUAGCGGGACUGGUGUGUGGAAUUAAUCAUGCCAGUAACCGCUGGUUCCUUGACAGCGUGAUAGCGCGGUUGUGGGUUUUCAUCUGACUGCAUUUGGUACACGGAAGGGGUAACUCUCGAGUGUGCUGAGUGAAGUAGGGUGUGUGAUCUGUGAUCGGUCUGCUGUUGCGAUGAUUUGCCGAGGACAGAGUCAGAUGGGGAGUUUGACUGGGGCGGUACAUCCUUUACAUUAUAACGAGGAUGUCCUAAGGCGAGCUCACCGUGGACAGAAACCACGGGUAGAWCAUAAGGGCAAAAGCUCGCUUGAUUCACAUUCUCAGUAAGAAUGCGAACCGUGAAAACGUGGCCUAACGAUCCUUUAUCAUAACACACCUGAGAGUUUCAGGUUAGAGGUGUCAGAAAAGUUACCACAGGGAUAACUGGCUUGUGGCAGCCAAGCGUACAUAGCGACGUUGCCGUUUGAUCCUUCGAUGUCGGCUCUUCCUAUCAUUGGAUUGCAAGAGGUCCAAAGUGUUGGUUUGUUCACCCGCCAACAGGGAACGUGAGCUGGGUUUAGACCGUCGUGAGACAGGUUAGUUUUACCCUACUGUCUCUCUGUGUAUAUCCAYKUAGAGCGCGCUGCGAUAGUAAUUUCGAUUAGUACGGAAGGAACAUUGUAAUCGGAUGAUCGGUGCAGCGCUUGGCUGAUGAGCCAG